RNAcentral lists this ribosomal RNA (513 nucleotides) under Eubacterium sp. oral clone BP1-3. RNAcentral describes it as "bacterial SSU rRNA". It matches the Rfam family "Bacterial small subunit ribosomal RNA", at positions 8 to 521 of the family's 1533-position model. The record is from RNAcentral. Lineage: Bacteria; Bacillati; Bacillota; Clostridia; Eubacteriales; Eubacteriaceae.
AGAGUUUGAUCCUGGCUCAGGAUGAACGCUGGCGGCGUGCUUAACACAUGCAAGUCGAGCGAGAAGUUUUGAAAAGAUUCUUCGGAUGAAAUUUAAAAUGGAAAGCGGCGGACGGGUGAGUAACGCGUAGGCAACCUGCCCCAUACAAAGGGAUAGCAUUUGGAAACGAAUAUUAAUACCUUAUGAAACUUAACUAGUGCAUGCUAGGUAGGUCAAAGAUUUAUCGGUAUGGGAUGGGCCUGCGUCUGAUUAGCUAGUUGGUGAGGUAACGGCUCACCAAGGCGACGAUCAGUAGCCGACCUGAGAGGGUGAACGGCCACAUUGGAACUGAGACACGGUCCAAACUCCUACGGGAGGCAGCAGUGGGGAAUAUUGCACAAUGAGGGAAACCCUGAUGCAGCAACGCCGCGUGAACGAUGAAGGCCUUUGGGUCGUAAAGUUCUGUUCUAGGUGAUGAAAACUGACAGUAACCUAGGAGAAAGCCCCGGCUAACUCCGUGCCAGCAGCCGCGGU